RNAcentral lists this ribosomal RNA (348 nucleotides) under Skistodiaptomus reighardi. Its description in RNAcentral is "partial 16S ribosomal RNA". The stretch from base 104 to 348 matches the Rfam family "Archaeal large subunit ribosomal RNA", at positions 2156 to 2666 of the family's 2987-position model. Lineage: Eukaryota; Metazoa; Arthropoda; Copepoda; Calanoida; Diaptomidae. The record is from RNAcentral.
UAGUCCUUUUAUUGAGGAAUAGAAUGAAUGGUUUCACCGACUAAGAAGUUUUUAAUAAAAAUAGAAUUUUUAUUUUAGUGAAAAGACUAAAGUUUUACAUUUAGACGAUAAGACCCUAUGAAGCUUUACUAAAUUUUAGUUUUUUUGGGGCAAACAAUAAUUUUGUUAUUUUAAAUUAGUCACCUUUUGAUCUUAAAAAAUUUUAAGAAAAAGCUACUCUAGGGAUAACAGCAUAAUUUUUAUUAAAGCUCUUAUUGAAAUAAAAGAUUGUGACCUCGAUGUUGAAUUAAGGAGUUUGAUUUGUGUAGCAGCUAAUUAAUAUAUAGUCUGUUCGACUAGAAGACCUUA